RNAcentral lists this long non-coding RNA (4631 nucleotides) under Brassica napus (rape). RNAcentral describes it as "long non-coding RNA (BNAP_LNC001942)". The record is from RNAcentral. Lineage: Eukaryota; Viridiplantae; Streptophyta; Magnoliopsida; Brassicales; Brassicaceae.
GGUAAAGAAAAUCUAUUGCAGAAAAAGAUGAGCUCGUCUCCGUUAGCGUCAUCUCUCUUUUUCUCUCUUUCGACCUUGUCGGCUCAUAAGCAUGGCCGGAGCCGAAACUUCUGUGUCAGUCGGAAGGAACAGUGUCUUCGUGUUCGAGCUGCCAAGCUUCCGGAGGGGGUGAAUCCUUUAUUCUAUUUUCCCACAAAUCAAUAUCUCAAAACAAAACAAACAGCCUGCUGCGUGGUAAUAAAUAUAAUCGUUUUUGUAGGUGAUAGUGCCAAAAGUACAGCCCAAGUCUCAACCAGCGUUUCUGGGAUUCACACAAACAGCUGAGAUAUGGAACUCUAGAGCUUGCAUGAUUGGUCUCAUUGGCACUUUCAUCGUCGAGUUGGUGAGUUUUCUUCACAAAAGAAGCUUUUGUAUUAACGAAACUUAUAAACUAAAGCUGAAACAUUUUCAUUUUACAGAUUCUGAACAAAGGAAUACUUGAGUUGAUCGGGGUAGAGAUCGGUAAAGGCCUUGAUCUUCCUCUGUAAUCUAUUUUUAUGAAAUGUUAAACUCUUAAAAGCUUUAAUCACACAUCAUAAUGUAAAACUUGUUAUAUAUGUUAUCUUUUGGGAUUCUUCACAACCAGUGUUAAGGCUUUUUAGAGGACACGAGUGGUCCUUGCAUCUAUGAUGCCUACUUUACCUAAUGGUUCAGAGAGAGUCAAUGCUUCUGAAAGAGAGAUACGUCUGUUUCUCCAUGCAGAUUCAGCCCAUGAUUUCAUCUUCUCUCCUUCGCUUCUUCUGUUCACUUGAAUCAGUAGGAGCUCCGCAUAUCCUCCUGCACCAAUCACCCACCAAUCCAAGUUUUCUUAGCUAAUGUCGCAAUAAGUGAAAGAAAAAGAAAAGAAACAGAUUUAAUCUUCCCCACCUCUUGCUAGAGCCAUUACCUCCUGAGUCUCCACGUUUAUUAUCCCUAUAGUAAUCAGCAAAAUAUAUAUGGUGAGAGCAAACGGUAUUAAUUUAGGGUUCAAGAAUCUCUUCAAUGUACCUUCUGUAUCAUCCAGUGGAGGUGCUUUCAUGAGCUCCAAUGCUCUUCUAAAGAGUCCCUGAGAUGAUGAAAAGAAACAUGUGUAAGAUGAGGAAAGUCUAAUGCUUUGGAGUCUAAAGAAACUUUGUUGUUUCUGACCUCUUGAAUCAUAAUAGAACUCGAGCGUUCUUGCUUUGCUUUGUUCCGGUACAUGAGAGCUACUCCAGUUAAAAUCACGCCAACCUUGGGAUGACUGUGUCCUGAUCCGAGUACGCACAGUAUCCAUAAGACUGGUGCAUUAAUUAAAAUGAGUAGAUGGACCACAGAGUGUACCAUAAUGUGCCUCAGCGCUUGUCAAUGCACUUGUCAGUGUUUCCUCCGCAUCACCAAAGUUCCUAAUAAAUCGCAACACCAAAACAGAGUGACGAAUGAUAUUACCAGAGGUGAAUAAUUUAGAUUAGAGAGGACCACAAAACUCAAAGCUUACCCAAUGUGUGACUCUAACUGCCCAAGAGCAAAUGUGGCUGCUAAUGAGACUGCUUUCAAAUUCAUAUUACAAGAACUCAUGGAUUCCUUGGUCUCUGUCACUCCUUGAAUUGCCUUUUGAUACAUCUCCUUUGCCAUUUCGAAGUUUCCAGUGGCGUGCAAGAACUCACCAUAAGAAAGAGCAAUGUUACUACCUUUGCAGAUCUCAUGGUUCUCAAGUCCUUGAAACAAAGAUUCGGCUGCAUACACACAAAAAAAAAAAGACCUUACAAUUAGGCUAUACAUGAAACUAAGGAGGAUCAGAUAGAAGAAAAGUAAAGCUUGAGCUGCUCUUCUCUACCAGAUUCAAUACUUCCUUUCACAAGCUCAGUGAGGCCUUUGAUCGUUUUAGCUGUGGCAGCCACACCCUGAAGAUUCUCAUGGCCUCUCUCUUUAACCAGUUCCAGAAAUUCAUCAGCAACAUUCAGUGAAGCAUCAUCCUAAACAGGUCAAAUCAUAAUCAACUUUCUAACACAACCUCCCAUAUGUAACACACAAACUAAGUAGCACUGUUGGGAUUUGAACCUGUCCUGACUGAAUCAGAAGACCAACAAGAGCUUCCACAGCAACAACUGCCACAACAACAACCUUAACAAAAGAACACAUAUCCACAAAAAAAAAGUAAAGGUUUUGGAAAAACCUCUAAUAGACAAGGAAGAGAGGGUGAGAGACAUGACUUGCUUGAGGCGUUCAAUGGCCUCACUACUGUUCGCACUGUAAACCCACAAGAAACCAAACACACUAUAUAUAAUCUUAAGCAAAAGAUCAAUCAGAGAGAGAGAAAAGGGUAAAAAAAGAUGAAACCUUUCGUAUAGUAGAUCAGACAUAGCGAGCAAGACUGUUGCUUUAGAGUCCUGAGAAACCUGAUCAUCGCUAGCUUGAUUCCCAAGGCAUUGCUCAAGCACUAGCAUCCCUUGAGCAUAUGAUUCAUCUGCAAAAAAAAUUUCAAUUUUGUCAGAACCAUAGGGUUUAAGCGUUCAUUUGAAAGUCCGAUGAUCAUAAGUAGAUAAAAAAAAAAAACCUGAUCUUUGAGACCUAGCGUGAGAAAGAGCGUAAUUGACCAUCUGAAUCGCAACAUGAUUCGCGUUUGGAACGCUGAUUUCACCGUGAAUCAAUCUCAACGGCGUCGAGUAUCGGACAAGGCUGCUUCUAACGGGGAUCGCGCGGCCACGAAUCGUUGCGGCAGCAGCUCUUGCACAUUUGGUAGCAGCGUGAAUCAUAAUCGCUCGAUUUACUCUUUCUCGUGUCCAGGAGAAAGAAAGGUUCGUCUAUAGAAAAAACCUCAGCAGACAUGGGACGGAGCUCUUCCUCGCCGUCACUACCGGCGGUGGCCAAUAUCAAUUGGUUUAACCGGUAUAAUUUAAGUUUGGUUUGGUAAUUAAUUGGUUUGGUUCAAUACACUAAAAAUCCAAUUGAAUUAUGUUUUAUUUCGAAGAGUUUAAAUGUUUAAUUCAUGAUUUGUUCCCAAAAAAAGGAAAAAAAAAAUCAUGAUUGUAUAUUGUUCCAUGAUUUUGUGAUUACAUGACUAGUUUAUUUAAUCUCUUGCAAUAUAACUUAGUAAUAUAAAUGUAACGAUAAUUGCAGGAAUGGAGUAAAUGGAUGGUGGAAUUAGUCGCAGUAACCUCAUUAUCGGUCGCAUCAAAAUUUAACGACGUUACUUCCCCUUCACUUCAAGAACUUCAAAUGGAAGGGCUAACUCAUAUGUUUCAUCACAAGACCGUUCUUGAGAUGGAACUCAUUCUGUUGAAAGCUCUAGAAUGGCGUGUAAACUCGGUUACGAGUUUAUCUUUUUCUCAAAUUCUAAUGACCAAAAUGGGGAUCGUAGGAGGAGAUAUAAUGAUGAACCGAAUCACAGAACAUCUGUUAGAUGAUUUAUGCGGUAAGAAGACCAUAUACAGUAUAUAUAUGUGUGUGAAUAUUCAUUUAUUCAUUUUGAGGAUGUUUCUUGGUGAGAAAGAAAGUAAUAUUAUAAAACGAUGGACCAAUUCUGAAUCUGGAUGCAGAUUUGAAGAUGCUUGGAUAUGCACCAAGUGUUGUAGCGGUGGCGGCUAUGUGGACUGUCUUAGAAGAGAAAGCAGCUCUAGAAGAGAACUUUGGGAAAAUUAUGAAUCUUUUUGGACAAGAAUACAAGGUAAAAUCAAAUGUUAAUUUUGCACCUAUAGUAUAACAUUAACAAUUGGAAAUACGUGAUUUAUUUUGAUAAUUGCAGGAGAAUAUUGCCAAAUGUAUCAAUGUUAUGAAAUCUCGAAACGUUGAAAAGGGUUGGGGAAGAAAAGGUAGUGAAGUGAAGAGUCUUUUGAGUGUGUUGCAGAGAGGCGAUAUAAUGAACAUGAAUGAUGUUUAUUACGGCGGCGAUCUUUCUACCAUUUUUCAGAUUUUACGUUCCGAAGGAAUCAAUAAAAAGAGAGAUAGAGAUUUCAACGAAGACAAGCUUCGUCCUGCAAAAAGAAUGACAUUUGUUAUGUCAGAUUGAUUAUCACAUUUAUGAAAAGAGAUGAAACUACAUUUUUGAAUAACAGAGAAUAAAUAUGUUUUUUUUCUUUCUUUUACACAGAUUACAGUAAAACUGUCAUGUACUGUUGUUGAAUUAUGUAUGAUGAGAAUUGUUAAAUAAUUUUUAUUGUUCUUAUUUUAUUUUGUUAUUUAUUUAGUAUUUGAGGAAUAAAAAUUGGAAUAAAUACGCACACUAAAACAGAAUGGAAAUAAUAUCGCCAAAAAAAACAUGAUAAAAUUGUAUGAAUUAUCAUCACCACGCAAAUAAUUGAGUAUGGAGUAAACACGUGGCGAAAAAUGAAUGGAUGGAAGAAACAGAUCACUAUAUCCACAAGUGCAGUUCUGACUUGUGAAGAAGAUAAAGACUGUUGAAAAGGUAAAGAAAAUCUAUUGCAGAAAAAGAUGAGCUCGUCUCCGUUAGCGUCAUCUCUCUUUUUCUCUCUUUCGACCUUGUCGGCUCAUAAGCAUGGCCGGAGCCGAAACUUCUGUGUCAGUCGGAAGGAACAGUGUCUUCGUGUUCGAGCUGCCAAGCUUCCGGAGGGGGUGAAUCCUUUAUUCUAUUUUCCCACAAAUCAAUAUCUCAAAACAAAACAAACAGCCUGCUGCGU